AUUUUAGCUUAUUUGUUAACUUUAAUUACUUUAUAUUUAAUUUUUGUAAUUUUAUUAUUUUUAAUAGGUUUUUGUGACAAAUUGAGGGUCAAUGAGUGCAUUAGAAAGUGAUUUGAAGAAAUUUGGAGCUCCUUGAGUAUGGAAGAAAGUUAAAGAAAUCAAGCCUUGAAAGAUCAAGUUAAUCGAAAUUUGCUUGAGACUUUGCU
Molecule: unclassified non-coding RNA, 206 nt
Filed under: Hevea brasiliensis (rubber tree)
Lineage: Eukaryota; Viridiplantae; Streptophyta; Magnoliopsida; Malpighiales; Euphorbiaceae
Source: RNAcentral